CCUACGGGUGGCAGCAGUGAGGAAUAUUGGUCAAUGGCCGUAAGUCUGAACCAGCCAAGUAGCGUGAGGGAAGACUGCCCUAUGGGUUGUAAACCUCUUUUAUGCGGGGAUAAAGUUGUCCACGUGUGGAUGUUUGCAUGUACCGCAUGAAUAAGGACCGGCUAAUUCCGUGCCAGCAGCCGCGGUAAUACGGAAGGUCCGGGCGUUAUCCGGAUUUAUUGGGUUUAAAGGGAGCGUAGGCCGGUCUUUAAGCGUGCCGUGAAAUUUUGUGGCUCAACCAUGAGAGUGCGGCGGGAACUGGAGGCCUUGAGUGCGCGGAAGGCAGGCGGAAUUCGUGGUGUAGCGGUGAAAUGCUUAGAUAUCACGAAGAACCCCGAUUGCGAAGGCAGCCUGCCGCAGCGUAACUGACGCUGAGGCUCGAAAGCGCGGGUAUCGAACAGGAUUAGAUACCCGGGUAGUC
This 460-nucleotide ribosomal RNA is filed under the name uncultured bacterium. RNAcentral's name for it is "partial 16S ribosomal RNA". It matches the Rfam family "Bacterial small subunit ribosomal RNA", at positions 338 to 795 of the family's 1533-position model. The record is from RNAcentral.